UACGUAGGGUGCAAGCGUUGUCCGGAAUUAUUGGGCGUAAAGAGCUCGUAGGCGGUCUGUCGCGUCGAAUGUGAAAAUCCGAGGCUCAACCUCGGACCUGCAUUCGAUACGGGGCAGACUAGAGUUCGGUAGGGGGAGUCUGGAAUUCCUGGUGUAGCGGUGAAAUGCGCAGAUAUCAGGAGGAACACCGGUGGCGAAGGCGGGACUCUGGGCCGAUACUGACGCUGAGGAGCGAAAGCGUGGGGGAGCAAACAGG
Molecule: ribosomal RNA, 256 nt
Filed under: uncultured bacterium
Lineage: Bacteria
Description: partial 16S ribosomal RNA
Rfam family: Bacterial small subunit ribosomal RNA
Source: RNAcentral